RNAcentral lists this ribosomal RNA (702 nucleotides) under bacterium xpnta710lb522on10.8. Its description in RNAcentral is "bacterial SSU rRNA". It matches the Rfam family "Bacterial small subunit ribosomal RNA", at positions 51 to 763 of the family's 1533-position model. The record is from RNAcentral.
ACACAUGCAGUCGAACGNGNGNNAGCCCAGGCUUGCUUGGUGGAUCAGUGGCGAACGGGUGGAGUAACACGUGAGCAACCUGCCCUGAACUCUGGGAUAAGCGCUGGAAACGGCGUCUAAUACUGGAUAUGAGCUGCGGAGGCAUCUUCGUGGUUGGAAAGAUUUUUCGGUUUGGGAUGGGCUCGCGGCCUAUCAGCUUGUUGGUGAGGUAAUGGCUCACCAAGGCGUCGACGGGUAGCCGGCCUGAGAGGGUGACCGGCCACACUGGGACUGAGACACGGCCCAGACUCCUACGGGAGGCAGCAGUGGGGAAUAUUGCACAAUGGGCGGAAGCCUGAUGCAGCAACGCCGCGUGAGGGAUGACGGCCUUCGGGUUGUAAACCUCUUUUAGCAGGGAAGAAGCGAAAGUGACGGUACCUGCAGAAAAAGCGCCGGCUAACUACGUGCCAGCAGCCGCGGUAAUACGUAGGGCGCAAGCGUUAUCCGGAAUUAUUGGGCGUAAAGAGCUCGUAGGCGGUUUGUCGCGUCUGCUGUGAAAACCCGAGGCUCAACCUCGGGCCUGCAGUGGGUACGGGCAGACUAGAGUGCGGUAGGGGAGAUUGGAAUUCCUGGUGUAGCGGUGGAAUGCGCAGAUAUCAGGAGGAACACCGAUGGCGAAGGCAGAUCUCUGGGCCGUAACUGACGCUGAGGAGCGAAAGGGUG